This is a long non-coding RNA of Ictalurus punctatus (channel catfish), 1188 nucleotides long. The record is from Ensembl. Lineage: Eukaryota; Metazoa; Chordata; Actinopteri; Siluriformes; Ictaluridae.
UGCUGAACCAUUCAGAGUGCAUGAACUGCCCAAAGCGCAACAGCACGCAUUUCCGGGUUGUCAGUGACAUGGUAUACUUUUGACACAUGUGUUUUGCUUUGGUUUCUGUUCUGUCACUGCCCUUGUUAUGUUAUUGGUUGUCUCCCUCAUGUGUCAUCAUUAUUCACAGCUGUUUAUGUUUUACCUUUGAUUAUGUUAAUUAUUUAAACCCCUCAUAUGUCUUUGUUGGGCAAAGUGUUGCAUAUUUCUUUGUUUUGCUGCCAGACCCGGACUAACCCUGUUGAUCCUCGAUUCUUGAUUUUUGAUCCUGUUUUCAUCCUCCUAUUUAUUGAUUCUGCUUUCGCCUAGUCCAGUGGUUCCCGUACUUUUUACAGUGGCAUACCCUCCCAGGCAUUUAAUAUCCUUUUGCAUACCCCCUCUCUCAAACUGUGUUGUCUGACGAUGGUAUCCUCUGUAUUGUUUUUUAUUUUUGGCCUUUUCCCCAACCAUUACACCAGCUAUAUCAGUCGCAGCAGAAAUAAUUAAGUCCUCCACAAUAGUAUGGGGUUUGCCUGUCUUAGCCACUCUGUAACUCACCAUGUAGGAUGCUUCCAGACCCUUCCUAUGUAGGUUUUCCUACAAUGUUAUAAGGGCCUUACUACUCCUGAGUUGUCUUAAAUGUCUUUAAAAAAAAACUCUCGAGGUUUAUUUAGCAAAAAGUAAGUAGCAUUCUUUGUUUCUAAAUGUCUGUGCAGAAAUGCUGGUUUCAUGCAGUUAUGAGAGAGUACUUUUGCACAUAUAACACACUGUGGCUGGGGGUUUUCUUUACUACCAGCGUAUGUAAAGCCCAAAGAAAUAUAUUUCUCAUCAUAUUUGCGCCCCUUUGAUGGUUUUUCUGCGAAUUGCUGGUGAAGAAGAGGUGGCGUUUCGACUUCGGAUACAUCGCUGUCUAUAUCAGCGUGAACUGGCCUAAUUGCAGUGAGUACACUUACGCUCGCUAUGGACGCGCUAUUAGAGGGACCUGGGCCACUGCUGUCAGAGGACUGUGGAUCAGCGGCGCUGGAAGUAGAAGCCGGCGGCCAGCGCACAAAAGAAGAAAAGCGCUCCUCCCGCAACUGAAAGGGAAACUGAUGCUGAAAGGACAGCUCUGCUUCAGCACCACUAAUGUUUUGGACAGCCGAAGAUACAACAGAAAAGGAUUUUGAUCCC